GACGAACGCUGGCGGCGUGCCUAAUACAUGCAAGUCGAACGCUUUUUCUUUCACCGGAGCUUGCUCCACCGAAAGAAAAAGAGUGGCGAACGGAUGAGUAACACGUGGGUAACCUGCCCAUCAGAAGGGGAUAACACUUGGAAACAGGUGCUAAUACCGUAUAACACUAUUUUCCGCAUGGAAGAAAGUUGAAAGGCGCUUUUGCGUCACUGAUGGAUGGACCCGCGGUGCAUUAGCUAGUUGGUGAGGUAACGGCUCACCAAGGCAACGAUGCAUAGCCGACCUGGGAGGGUGAUCGGCCACACUGGGACUGAGACACGGCCCAGACUCCUACGGGAGGCAGCAGUAGGGAAUCCUCGGCAAUGGACGAAAGUCUGACCGAGCAACGCCGCGUGAGUGAAGAAGGUUUUCGGAUCGUAAAACUCUGUUGUUAGAGAAGAACAAGGAUGAGAGUAGAACGUUCAUCCCUUGACGGUAUCUAACCAGAAAGCCACGGCUAACUACGUGCCAGCCGCCGCCGUAA
Molecule: ribosomal RNA, 523 nt
Filed under: uncultured bacterium
Lineage: Bacteria
Description: partial 16S ribosomal RNA
Rfam family: Bacterial small subunit ribosomal RNA
Source: RNAcentral